Long non-coding RNA from Amborella trichopoda, 574 nucleotides. RefSeq lists it as uncharacterized. Lineage: Eukaryota; Viridiplantae; Streptophyta; Magnoliopsida; Amborellales; Amborellaceae. The record is from RefSeq and is a predicted model, not a curated record.
CAAUGCAUCAAUGAAACCGUCCCUCUAUCUCUCUUCACGGUCCUCCCUCUCUCUCUGUACAGCCAGUGAUGCCCCUCCCUCUCUCUCUCUUUGUGGUCCUUGGUCUCUCUCUGUGCAGUCAUUGAAGCCCCAUCUCUAAAGGUUCCAAGGGUAUCAUUGCUCUUUGUUAUUCCUGCUUUUGGAGUUGUGGUUGGAUGGGAUGGCGAUGGUUCUCCAAUUAAAGAAUCAGAUGAGAGCAUAACUCAUCAGGUUCAAGGACAUUGCGGCAAUGAUUACUUCCACUUGGUGUAUUACUGCAACUACCAUAAUUGUCAUCUUCAUUGACAUGGCUCAUGGCAUUGUCCUAUGGACGUCUCUUACACACAAACUUUUCAUCAAACUGACGAAUUCUAUUUUGUAUUAUGGACAUUACAAACUCAUGGCCCUCUACACUUUGUGAAGCACAUUCGGCAAGGGAUCGACUUGCCUGCAUAGCCUCCUUAUAUCUAAUGGAGCGUGGUAGUUCAGAUGUUACUUGAAUUUGUUCCCCAAUGUCAUGAAGAAAAACUCUAUUCUUUACAUCAUUUGUCCAACA